AUUGAACGCUGGCGGCAGGCCUAACACAUGCAAGUCGAACGGUAACAGGAAGAAGCUUGCUUCUUUGCUGACGAGUGGCGGACGGGUGAGUAAUGUCUGGGAAACUUCCUGAUGGAGGGGGAUAACUACUGGAAACGGUAGCUAAUACCGCAUAACGUCGCAAGACCAAAAAGGGGGACCUUCGGGCCUCUUGCCAUCGGAUGUGCCCAGAUGGGAUUAGCUAGUAGGUGGGGUAACGGCUCACCUAGGCGACGAUCCCUAGCUGGUCUGAGAGGAUGACCAGCCACACUGGAACUGAGACACGGUCCAGACUCCUACGGGAGGCAGCAGUGGGGAAUAUUGCACAAUGGGCGCAAGCCUGAUGCAGCCAUGCCGCGUGUAUGAAGAAGGCCUUCGGGUUGUAAAGUACUUUCAGCGGGGAGGAAGGGAGUAAAGUUAAUACCUUCGCUCAUUGACGUUACCCGCAGAAGAAGCACCGGCUAACUCCGUG
RNAcentral lists this ribosomal RNA (490 nucleotides) under uncultured bacterium. RNAcentral's name for it is "partial 16S ribosomal RNA". It matches the Rfam family "Bacterial small subunit ribosomal RNA", at positions 30 to 507 of the family's 1533-position model. The record is from RNAcentral.